Long non-coding RNA from Peromyscus leucopus (white-footed mouse), 2892 nucleotides. RefSeq lists it as uncharacterized. The record is from RefSeq and is a predicted model, not a curated record. The transcript has 3 exons. NCBI's taxonomy places the organism in Eukaryota, Metazoa, Chordata, Mammalia, Rodentia, Cricetidae.
GCUCAGUAGGAGAAGCUGUUUCGGGAAUACACAAAGCCGCAGCAGGAAACCCUCCCAGAGUGCUCUCUCAUUUAGAGAGAGCAAGAGCUUUUCAUUUGCGGGAAGAACAGGUGCCCCCUCUUCCUCCCCCCCCAAGAAAACCAAUGGGAGUCGCCUUAACCAAACCAACUCACAAUUGUAGAUCGACAAAACAAACAAACAAAACCCAAAGGGCCAAAGCGCAAUUCAGGCAGGGCUAGAAUGCAGCAUGGUGGGGCGUACUUUUCUCAUCUGUCAUUGAGAUUAACCUGGUGGUGUUGCUGGGAGCUUGGGGAGGGGAAGGCGUUGUUUGCAACUGAUAAGAGAAAUUUCUGCUCUUCUUUCAUUCCGUAAAGGAUUAAUGGAAAAUGUAGAAAUUGGAGGCAGCAUCAAAUUAUCAAAAGAGGCGAGAGUCAAGUGUGUAACAUUUUAAGAUCAAGAGCAGCAGGAAAAAAUAUGCUUUCUGAAGAUAAGGAAACGAGGGCACCACCGGGCGUUUGCAAGAAGACUCCAGCGGCAUGGGGAACAGAAAGAUGGGUGAGUCAGCACCGCCGAGGGCCACACGCUUCAGGCAUGUGCACUUCCAAACCAAGGGCUGCUGUGUAGGAAGUGCAGCGUGCUCUUGCCCACGGUGCCCACGGUGCCCACGGUGCCCACGGUGCAAUCGACCGGACGGAGAACAGUCCCUGGUGGGAUUGGAGUGAGCUGAACAUUUCUCCCGCCACAAAUUGCUGGAUGGUUCCAGUCUACCGGCUGUUUACACUCCACUUGGGCACUGAUGUCCCUGCCAACAGUCCCAGAACGAGUCUGCCUAUAGCUCCAGAAGUCAUCAGUUUCUCCAGAGCAUAGACUUGGACUCACUGGCAUCGAAAGAGGCUCCCCUCAAAAUGUAAAAUUCUUCACAGGGAUUCAUGCCUCAAAUAAUUCUUCAGGGAAAAGAUGGUUUGCAGUUUGAGGCAUCGAGUCACGGGCCAUUGAUUCCAGCUGGCUGAUUCCAGCUGCUUACUGAUCAUCCUCCCGGGUACCACCUUUUCUCUGCCAUAAUGAACCCAGAAGUAAGGAGCGACAGAUAUUGCAGCCAUUGGUUGGUUGACCUAGUGAGGAAUGAGCCAAAGGCUGAAUCAAGAGGAGAGAAGCCAGGCCCUGAUGACGACGACGACGACGACGACGACGACGACGACGUCGAAGCUCAAGCUACCCUUGGCCUGUCCAGUUAUGCAAACACCCAAAUCUCCUUUCUAUAACUGUUCUUGUGACAUGAGAGGACAAUUCAUGUGGUGUACGACAUUAUCUUGUUUAGCUCUUAUAACCUGGCAGGUGCAUUAUUAGUCCAAGUUCACAUGUGGGGAAACUUGUCGUUAAGCAACCUACCAACUUGUCAUUGUGGCAGAGAUGGCCGCCCCCUCCACUGUGAUCAACCGCAAAGCCUAAUUGCGGCAAUCAGGCUAGACCCCUGACCCGCUCAGCUCUGAGUAUUUUAGUCUUUUCUCUUAUGUGAAAUUUUAACGUUCCUAACAUUAGUAGCUUCAUUGCUGAAAAAAAUAUACAUAUAAGGUUUAUUUCUCUUUCUCUUUUUCACUUACUCCUUAAAUCUUUUUUCUCCCCUAUAAUCUCUCUAAAUAUCAAAUAUUUUCUCUAGCCUCCUCUUCACACUUGGUAUCAAUUUGAAAUGGUCCCGGAUCAUUGUAAGCUUGGGCAUGGAAGUGAGUUUACUGGAAAUACGACCUCGUGAUGAAUGGUCGAAGACGAGAGGGCUUCGAAUGAGUCUGAUCAACUAUCAGGAAAACAAACUUCGGAGUUGAAUUUCUGAGGUGACGAACCACAGGCCCCUCCUGCUCCUCGUUUUGUCUCACUCAUUUAAAAAAGUGAAAAAAAAAAAGACUGGGUUGGGGACUUUGCUCAGUGGUAGAGCGCUUGCCUAGCAAGUGCAAGGCCCUGGGUUCAGUCCUCAGCUCCGGAAGAAAAAAAAAUGAAAAGACCAAUAUCAAUGUUCAUGGAUUAUUUUCUCCUGGGAAGAUUGCCAAUCGAAACAUCAUCGUUCCUGCACCCAACAGGGAAAACCAAUGCUCCUCCGGCUCUCACUUUUCAACCGUAUUUAUUAAAAGAGAGAUGAAGUGCUUGCACCAAAAAGUCUGAGGACCUGAGUUCAGAUCCCCACACCUUGAAACUGGGACCUAUAAUCCCAGUGCUGGGGUGGUGGUGGCCGAGGCUCUCAGAGGGUUGCUGGUUACCAGUCAAUCACAGAGCCAAAUGAGGUGGAGGCACAGGCUUUGAAUCCCAGCACUUGGGAGACCGCGGCAGGCAGAUUUCUGAGUUUGAGGCCAGCCUGGUCUACAGAACAGGUUCUGGGACAGCUAGGGUUAGGUAGAGAAACCUUGUCUCGAAAAACAAACCAACAAAAAUGUGGCGAAUGAUAGAGGGAGACCCCUCUCAUUGAUCUCUGGCCUCUCCAGGGGCAAAGCACACUCAGAUACAAAAGCAUAAACACCCAAUAAAAGGGGGGAGUUCGCUAAAACUGGCAUCAUUUUUUUAGCGGAUCCUCAGAUAGAUAAGCCUUUUUAUUUUAUUGUUUAAACUUGACAGUGUCUCCUGUAGCCCCUGACCUUCUGGUCUUUCUGCCUCUGCUUCAUGCCAUAAACUUUAAAUACAUUUUAUUUGAUUAAGAGCCUAUCUCUGUUUUUUGUUUGUUUGUUUGUUUGUUUUCUAAAUUGAAUACCAGUCUAGGUAAGAGAAGAACAAGGGUUGGAGGUAGGACAACCUAUUUAAUCCCUGAACGUAGUCGUUAAGUUUCUUGGUCCUGCUCGGCCCCACGGUCCUGCAGCCGCUUAUAAAAUAAUCACUCAGAGGCUUAUAUGAAUUACAAACUGUAUGGCC